Molecule: ribosomal RNA, 697 nt
Filed under: uncultured bacterium
Lineage: Bacteria
Description: bacterial SSU rRNA
Rfam family: Bacterial small subunit ribosomal RNA
Source: RNAcentral
ACUGGCGAACGGGUGAGUAACACGUAGGCACCUGCCUUGAAGAUUGGGAUAACCCCGGGAAACCGGGACUAAUACCGGAUAAGUUCUUAGGAAUAAAGCGGGCUUCGGCUCGCACUUCAAGAUGGGCCUGCGUCCGAUUAGCUUGUUGGUGAGGUAACGGCUUACCAAGGCGAUGAUCGGUAGCUGGUCUGAGAGGAUGAUCAGCCACACUGGGAUUGAGAUACGGCCCAGACUCCUACGGGAGGCAGCAGUAGGGAAUUUUGCGCAAUGGACGAAAGUCUGACGCAGCAACGCCGCGUGAUCGAUGACGCUUUUAGGAGUGUAAAGAUCUGUCGUGAGGGAAGAAAAAUCUGGAUGUAAAUAAUGUUCAGACUUGACUGUACCUUACAAGAAAGCACCGGCUAACUUCGUGCCAGCAGCCGCGGUAAUACGAGGGGUGCUAGCGUUGUCCGGAAUAACUGGGCGUAAAGGGUCCGUAGGCGUUUUGCCAAGUUGAUCGUUAAAUCCACCGGCUCAACCGGUGACCUGCGAUCAAAACUGGCAGAAUAGAAUAUGUGAGGGGAAUGUGGAAUUCCUGGUGUAGCGGUGACAUGCGUAGAUAUCAGAGGAACACCAAUAGCGAAGGCAGCAUUCUGGCACAUAUUGACGCUGACGGACGCCGUGAGGAGCGAGCAGGAUUAGAUACCCUGGUAAGUCA